RNAcentral lists this long non-coding RNA (198 nucleotides) under Sus scrofa (pig). Its description in RNAcentral is "lncRNA (ENSSSCG00060034206.1)". The record is from RNAcentral. Lineage: Eukaryota; Metazoa; Chordata; Mammalia; Artiodactyla; Suidae.
CUGGAGCGGGGUCCAUAAAUGGUUCAGCUGAACGUGGAACCUAGGCGGGCCCAUCAGCGCGUCCGCCGCCAGGGGAGUCUGUGCGCGAAGGUGCGGCCUAGGCAUCGCCGCAAAGCGCCUUCCCGAUUCGCUUCUCUUAGGCGGGUCAGCGGUCCCAAAGCUCGGGGAACAGAUCCCAAUUUACAAAAUGUCGCCCAU